UCCCUCUUAGCUCAGUGGUAGAGCGCGUCACUCGUAUUUGGUGUGUUCAUGACGAGGUCAGUCGUUCAAGUCGGCUAGGGGGAA
Molecule: transfer RNA, 84 nt
Organism: Termitomyces sp. J132
Lineage: Eukaryota; Fungi; Basidiomycota; Agaricomycetes; Agaricales; Lyophyllaceae
Rfam family: tRNA
About the family: Transfer RNA (tRNA) molecules are approximately 80 nucleotides in length. Their secondary structure includes four short double-helical elements and three loops (D, anti-codon, and T loops). Further hydrogen bonds mediate the characteristic L-shaped molecular structure. tRNAs have two regions of fundamental functional importance: the anti-codon, which is responsible for specific mRNA codon recognition, and the 3' end, to which the tRNAs corresponding amino acid is attached (by aminoacyl-tRNA synthetases). tRNAs cope with the degeneracy of the genetic code in two manners: having more than one tRNA (with a specific anti-codon) for a particular amino acid; and 'wobble' base-pairing, i.e. permitting non-standard base-pairing at the 3rd anti-codon position.
Source: Rfam